This 879-nucleotide ribosomal RNA is filed under the name Pseudoduganella buxea. Its description in RNAcentral is "bacterial SSU rRNA". It matches the Rfam family "Bacterial small subunit ribosomal RNA", at positions 118 to 994 of the family's 1533-position model. Lineage: Bacteria; Pseudomonadati; Pseudomonadota; Betaproteobacteria; Burkholderiales; Oxalobacteraceae. The record is from RNAcentral.
UCGGAACGUACCCAAGAGUGGGGGAUAACGUAGCGAAAGUUACGCUAAUACCGCAUACGAUCCAAGGAUGAAAGCAGGGGACCGCAAGGCCUUGUGCUCCUGGAGCGGCCGAUAUCUGAUUAGCUAGUUGGUAGGGUAAAGGCCUACCAAGGCAUCGAUCAGUAGCUGGUCUGAGAGGACGACCAGCCACACUGGAACUGAGACACGGUCCAGACUCCUACGGGAGGCAGCAGUGGGGAAUUUUGGACAAUGGGCGCAAGCCUGAUCCAGCAAUGCCGCGUGAGUGAAGAAGGCCUUCGGGUUGUAAAGCUCUUUUGUCAGGGAAGAAACGGGUGUGGCUAAUAUCUGCAUCUAAUGACGGUACCUGAAGAAUAAGCACCGGCUAACUACGUGCCAGCAGCCGCGGUAAUACGUAGGGUGCAAGCGUUAAUCGGAAUUACUGGGCGUAAAGCGUGCGCAGGCGGUUUUGUAAGUCUGUUGUGAAAUCCCCGGGCUUAACCUGGGAAUGGCAAUGGAGACUGCAAGGCUAGAGUUUGGCAGAGGGGGGUAGAAUUCCACGUGUAGCAGUGAAAUGCGUAGAGAUGUGGAGGAACACCGAUGGCGAAGGCAGCCCCCUGGGUCAAGACUGACGCUCAUGCACGAAAGCGUGGGGAGCAAACAGGAUUAGAUACCCUGGUAGUCCACGCCCUAAACGAUGUCUACUAGUUGUCGGGUCUUAAUUGACUUGGUAACGCAGCUAACGCGUGAAGUAGACCGCCUGGGGAGUACGGUCGCAAGAUUAAAACUCAAAGGAAUUGACGGGGACCCGCACAAGCGGUGGAUGAUGUGGAUUAACUCGAUGCAACGCGAAAAACCUUACCUACCCUUGACAUGGCAGGA